UGCCAAAAUCUGCUGCUUGCGUGAUG
Molecule: small RNA, 26 nt
Filed under: Bombyx mori (domestic silkworm)
Lineage: Eukaryota; Metazoa; Arthropoda; Insecta; Lepidoptera; Bombycidae
Description: ovarian small RNA-33639
Source: RNAcentral